RNAcentral lists this ribosomal RNA (535 nucleotides) under Staphylococcus aureus. RNAcentral's name for it is "partial 23S ribosomal RNA". It matches the Rfam family "Bacterial large subunit ribosomal RNA", at positions 1290 to 1821 of the family's 2925-position model. Lineage: Bacteria; Bacillati; Bacillota; Bacilli; Caryophanales; Staphylococcaceae. The record is from RNAcentral.
GAGAAUGCCGGUGUGAGUAGCGAAAGACGGGUGAGAAUCCCGUCCACCGAUUGACUAAGGUUUCCAGAGGAAGGCUCGUCCGCUCUGGGUUAGUCGGGUCCUAAGCUGAGGCCGACAGGCGUAGGCGAUGGAUAACAGGUUGAUAUUCCUGUACCACCUAUAAUCGUUUUAAUCGAUGGGGGGACGCAGUAGGAUAGGCGAAGCGUGCGAUUGGAUUGCACGUCUAAGCAGUAAGGCUGAGUAUUAGGCAAAUCCGGUACUCGUUAAGGCUGAGCUGUGAUGGGGAGAAGACAUUGUGUCUUCGAGUCGUUGAUUUCACACUGCCGAGAAAAGCCUCUAGAUAGAAAAUAGGUGCCCGUACCGCAAACCGACACAGGUAGUCAAGAUGAGAAUUCUAAGGUGAGCGAGCGAACUCUCGUUAAGGAACUCGGCAAAAUGACCCCGUAACUUCGGGAGAAGGGGUGCUCUUUAGGGUUAACGCCCAGAAGAGCCGCAGUGAAUAGGCCCAAGCGACUGUUUAUCAAAAACACAGGUC